UACAGAGGGGGCGAGCGUUGUUCGGAAUUACUGGGCGUAAAGGGCGCGUAGGCGGCCUGAUCAGUCGGGGGUGAAAGCCUGUGGCUCAACCACAGAAUGGCCUUCGAUACUGUCGGGCUCGAGACCGGAAGAGGUCAGCGGAACUGCGAGUGGAGAGGUGAAAUUCGUAGAGAUUCGCAAGAACACCAGUGGCGAAGGCGGCUGACUGGUCCGGUUCUGACGCUGAGGCGCGAAAGCGUGGGGAGCAAACAGG
This 253-nucleotide ribosomal RNA is filed under the name uncultured bacterium. RNAcentral's name for it is "partial 16S ribosomal RNA". It matches the Rfam family "Bacterial small subunit ribosomal RNA", at positions 524 to 776 of the family's 1533-position model. The record is from RNAcentral.